This is a long non-coding RNA of Ornithodoros turicata, 2507 nucleotides long. RefSeq lists it as uncharacterized. The transcript is spliced from 4 exons. The record is from RefSeq and is a predicted model, not a curated record. Lineage: Eukaryota; Metazoa; Arthropoda; Arachnida; Ixodida; Argasidae.
UCGAAACCACCCAUCCCCGCCUAGUACUCUGUUGAGUCUGUCUGUGUUUUGGCUCCCUUUCUUCUUCGUGUGCCUCGGCCGUCGAUUGGAUUAAUGGUGAUUUGUGCGAUAGUUGGCUGUGCGAACCACUCGCAUCUUAAACGAGCGAAACUAGAGAAGAAUGUGCAAGAUGAACGAUUCUUCAAGAUACCUACAGUUCGCAGCCGUGAAUGCGAUCGUACCCGUGAACUAUCUGCCAAACGAAGGGCUCUGUGUGUUGCUAGGAUUCGAAGGAAGGACAAUAAUAUGAACAAUCUCUAUAAAUACCACGUUUGUGGACGUUACUUCUCCGGGUGAGCAUUAAUUCGAAAGUUUGCUACCAAUUCUCCACUUUUCACCACACAGCCACAUGAGGUGUUACUUUUGUUAAUGAAAUCUGCGUUUUCGGCUCCCUCGCUCUUUCUUUUUUUCUUUGUAGUGGCUGCCCUGCGAAGUUAUUUGAUGAUUGCGCACCCAACUGGGCUCCUCAUAGAGAACUUGGGUACGAGUUGACGGUGAGUCAACAAUCACAUGAUCGCCACUAUCGACAGCAGAAGCGCAGUCGAAACAGGGAAAAUCUCGCAGCACCUGUUGAGGUACAAGAUGGUCAACAAUCACUUGAAGAGCAGCAGGAGCCCUUGCACUUUAGCCCCAGCUCUCCACGUAGUUCAUGCGAUGCCGAAAUCAACGAAGAGCCAGCUGCAGCAAGCCACUUGAUGUCAUGUAUGUUAUCACACAGAGGUCAUACAAGUCAUAACUGUCUGACUUGCACCUGUUGCUAUGCCUUCAGAAGGUGGCGAAGUCUCGUCAACAGCUCUGAGUAAAAACUUUAGACAACGUGAGGAGCCAGGCCAAAACAUUUCACUCAGCCAAGUUGAUUGAACUGGUGCCACCGUCUCAGAUUUUUCACAUGCAGAGAGUGGACUCGAUCACUCGGAUGUCACUGGUGAGGAUGUUCAUUGAAUUGUUGAAAUGUAGAAACAAACCUCAGAAACCAAACAACUAAUCACUCCCAAACCUUCACUGUCUUCCAGUGAAGGUUUCUAAUCCAGUGUUAUAUGGACAAUGUUGAAAGUGAGCAUUGAUAGAAAUUAUCUGGCAGAGCAAGUACAGCAGGAUAUCUGUUCUUUAGCUUUAGAUCUUGAGCUGGUGGUAGAACAAGACUAAGGAUGAAAUUUAGGCAAUAAAACUAUGUCCUCAUAAGUGCAUGCAUAUAUAAUAAUUCUUCUUUUCUGAAAGCUAAGCAUGCCAUGUCGUGUAAGUACACGCUUCAAAGCUCCAAAUGAGCAGGGCAUGUAGGGCUGUGCAUUAAAAUUGAUAUAAAUUUAAUCUACUUCAGUGCCUCCCACAUCCAGCAGCUAAUGGAUGAGAUCUCACGGCUAAAUGAGCAGUUAUACAGCUGUAGCGCUGCAGCAGCAAAGCAUGAUUUCACGGAAGACAGCCUGAAGAAUGAUGAUGCCAGGGUCCGGUUUUAUACUGGGCUUCCAUCGUUCCAAGCACUCAACUCUGUGUACAGGAUUGUAUGUGAUCACGUGUCACAUGGACCACAGAAUAUUCUGUCAAAGUUUGAGGAGAUGAUUGUCUGUUUGAUGAGGCUGCGUCUCAACCGAAGUUUACAGGACUUGGCCUACAGAUUUGGUGUGUCGGUACCAACUGUGUGUAAGAUUAUCGAUGGAUGGUUUAAUGCAUUGUAUGACAGGCUUCGCCUACUUAUCAGAUGGCCAACACAAGAAGAAAAUGCAAAAACCAUGCCGUUGCCUUUUCGUGAAAAUUUCGGGUGCAAGGUACGGUGUAUCUUGGACUGUUUUGAAAUAUUCAUUGAUCGUCCCAGUUCUUUAUAGAUGUCAGGGCUGCAACGUGGUCACAGUAUAAAGGGCAUAAUACUGUCAAGUUCCUCAUUUCUAUCUGCCCUCUUGGUAGUAUAACUUUUAUUUCAAGGUCAUAUGGGGGCCAAACGAGUGACAAGGUGAUUACUGAAGACUGUGGAAUUCUGACUAACUUGGAGUAUGGUGAUGUGGUUUUGGCGGAUCGGGGUUUUUUUAUUGCAGAGAGCGUAGGGUUGUGCUGUGCAACCCUUCACGUCCCUGCAUUCACCCGAGGUAGGAAACAUCUCAGCUGUGCUGAGUUAGAAUCAACACGUUCACUUGCAAAUGUAAGAAUACAUGUUGAAAGAGUUAUUGGUAUGGUGAGAAACAAGUAUACCAUACUCAAGGGCCCACUGCCAGUUGACACCCUCGUGACUAACAGCAGCAGGGAAGUGCCACAAAUUGAUAAAAUAGCCACUGUGUGCUGCUGCUUGGUAAACCUUUGCAACUCUGUUGUUCCUCCCAUACCAGUUCAUUAAGCAUUCAUGAUGAAGACGAGUUUGUUAGGGUGUUGCAGUUUUGACUCCUCUAAGUUUAUUGCACAUAAAACUAGUAAAGCAGAUAACUGUGAAAUGAUGGUUAAUAAAAAUGAGUAAAAUACCACACAAUUCUAAACGUCACUCA